This 124-nucleotide small RNA is filed under the name Marmota monax (woodchuck). Lineage: Eukaryota; Metazoa; Chordata; Mammalia; Rodentia; Sciuridae. The record is from RNAcentral.
GCUGGGCCCAGUGUUGCAUGCCUGUAAUCUCAGCGACUCGGGAGGCUGAGACAGGAGGAUCACGGUUCAAAGCCAGCCUCAGCAACAGUGAGGGGCUAAGCAAUUAAGUGAGACCCUGUCUCUA